UGUUGCCCGUGGUAUCUAAUGUCUAGAGUGUUUGUGUUGCUGGAUGUUUCGUUUUGAGGGCAGAAAUAUAAAGCAGAUCUUGCGACACAGUUAGCUUCAUUUGUAAUAAGCUUUCUGUUACAUUAUGCCUGCUUACAUUG
Ipomoea triloba (trilobed morning glory) is the source of this 140-nucleotide small nucleolar RNA. RefSeq annotates it as small nucleolar RNA F1/F2/snoR5a. The transcript has a single exon. NCBI's taxonomy places the organism in Eukaryota, Viridiplantae, Streptophyta, Magnoliopsida, Solanales, Convolvulaceae. The record is from RefSeq and is a predicted model, not a curated record.